Small nucleolar RNA from Mauremys mutica (yellowpond turtle), 217 nucleotides. RefSeq annotates it as small nucleolar RNA U3. Lineage: Eukaryota; Metazoa; Chordata; Testudines; Geoemydidae. The transcript has a single exon. The record is from RefSeq and is a predicted model, not a curated record.
AAGACUAUACUUUCAGGAAUAAUUUCUAUAGUUUGUAAUUAGAGAAGUGUGGUUGAAAAUGUCUGAUCUCGCUAACCACAACGAAGAAUUAAAGUGUUUUCUUCUGAGCAUGAAGUGAGAGGACAGUAUUGCUUUAGUACAGUUGCUGUUUGCUAUUGAUGAUUGUUCUUACUUUCCUUUUGAGAAACUGAGAAGAAGAAAACACAGACUGAGUGGU